CCUGAGGACGGAGUGGAGGUGCCAUGGCGGUUGCGGGCCCGCGUGUGGGGCUGGUUGGUCUGCGGGAGGACGAUGUUCCCCACCCGCGCCCCGGCCGGUGCAAAGGGGCCGUGCCCGUUCCUCGACGCUCCGCGUCUUCCUUUCCGGCCGCCCCGCGCGGUGUAUCCCCACCUUCUCAGAUUUAUCUGCUUGAUGUUCCGAUUGUCCCUGCAUAAGGAUGCAGAGGAGCGCAGAUGGUGGCAGAGUUCCUGAUAAUGAAACAACAGGUCAUCCGUUGGGCUCAGUGACCUCCUUCAUCAUGUUACUGGCUGCAGUGGACUUAGGAAUGCGGUGAACACAGGGGAUAGAGAAUGACUCAGAACAGAAAUCUCUAUGUCAGUCGGGAGCAGGCGUUUCAUCAGGUGAGUCCUGUGUUAUAGGUGCUGGGGUGAAUGGAGGCUUGGUGAGAGAUAGCAAUAAAGAAUCAAUUCUUUUUCCUAAUUUUAAAAUGUUUAACUUUCUACAGACUACUCAUAAACAUUUUGAUAGUUUUAUAAAGAUACAUGUAAGUUCCUUAGCAAAGUUAUUCACAUAACUCUGUUCCUUUGUGUUGUUAACCUUCAUUCAAAUUAGAAAGUUGAAUGCAAUGUCUGCAGAUUCUUAUUUUCUUAAUUGUGACUGUGUAUGGAGGAGAAGGGGCAUAGUACAUAGAACAAAGUGUAGAGCACUGGACAGCAAAUGACAGUCUGGGGAGCUCCAAGACCUCACUCCCACACAGAUACAUCAGUAAAACAACCAGGAUCUGCCUGAAUGAGCUGGGAUUCUAGCCCAGGGAACCCCAGAGGUGGGAACAAUGGGCUUUCUGCUCCCACCAUUGCCAGCCCUGGUAAGUGUUCCUAUUAGACCCAGGGAUGUGUGUGU
Globicephala melas (long-finned pilot whale) is the source of this 900-nucleotide long non-coding RNA. RefSeq lists it as uncharacterized. The record is from RefSeq and is a predicted model, not a curated record. NCBI's taxonomy places the organism in Eukaryota, Metazoa, Chordata, Mammalia, Artiodactyla, Delphinidae.